RNAcentral lists this ribosomal RNA (464 nucleotides) under uncultured bacterium. Its description in RNAcentral is "partial 16S ribosomal RNA". It matches the Rfam family "Bacterial small subunit ribosomal RNA", at positions 339 to 795 of the family's 1533-position model. The record is from RNAcentral.
CUACGGGAUGCUGCAGUGGGGAAUAUUGGACAAUGGGGGAAACCCUGAUCCAGCAAUGCCGCGUGUGUGAAGAAGGCCUGCGGGUUGUAAAGCACUUUCGGUUGGGAGGACUGCUUCUAGCACUAAUAUUGUUGGAAGUUGACGUUACCUUCAGAAGAAGCACCGGCUACUCCGUGCCAGCAGCCGCGGUAAUACGGAGGAUGCAAGCGUUAAUCGGAAUUACUGGGCGUAAAGCGCGCGUAGGCGGCUAGAUCAGUCGGGUGUGAAAGCCCCGGGCUUAACCUGGGAACUGCAUCCGAUACUGUCUAGCUUGAGUACGGGAGAGGAGAGUGGAAUUCCACAUGUAGCGGUGAAAUGCGUAGAUAUGUGGAGGAACACCAAUGGCGAAGGCAGCUCUCUGGCCUGAUACUGACGCUGAGGUGCGAAAGCGUGGGGAGCAAACAGGAUUAGAUACCCGAGUAGUC